Molecule: ribosomal RNA, 233 nt
Filed under: uncultured bacterium
Lineage: Bacteria
Description: partial 16S ribosomal RNA
Rfam family: Bacterial small subunit ribosomal RNA
Source: RNAcentral
UAACCUGCCUUGGAGUGGGGAAUAACAGCUGGAAACAGCUGCUAAUACCGCAUAAUAUAUCUGUGUCGCAUGGCACUGGAUAUCAAAGAUUUAUCGCUCUGAGAUGGACUCGCGUCUGAUUAGCUGGUUGGCGGGGUAACGGCCCACCAAGGCGACGAUCAGUAGCCGGACUGAGAGGUUGGCCGGCCACAUUGGGACUGAGACACGGCCCAGACUCCUACGGAAGGCAGCAG